CAAUAGCGUAUAUUAAAGUUGUUGCAGUUAAAAAGCUCGUAGUUGGAUUUCUGGUUCAGAUUGCCUGUCCCGGUCUUUCGGGACUGUGUUGACGGUGCGAUCUGUCCAUCCUUCUGGAGAACAGGUCUACCCUUUAUUGGCGUGGGCUUGCGAUUCAGAUCUUUUACUUUGAAAAAAUUAGAGUGUUCAAAGCAGGCUUACCGCUGUGAAUACAUUAGCAUGGAAUAAUAAGAUAGGACUUUGGUUCUAUUUUGUUGGUUUCUAGGACUGAAGUAAUGAUUGAUAGGGAUGGUUGGGGGUGCUAGUAUUAAAUGGCCAGAGGUGAAAUUCUUGGAUUCAUUUAAGACUAACUAAUGCGAAAGCAUUCACCAAGGACGUCUNCUUUA
Molecule: ribosomal RNA, 386 nt
Filed under: uncultured eukaryote
Lineage: Eukaryota
Description: partial 18S ribosomal RNA
Rfam family: Eukaryotic small subunit ribosomal RNA
Source: RNAcentral